GUUGCUCUUUUGAAAAAAAACUAAUACAUCCCGUAAAAUUGGAACGAUACAAAGAACAUGAAUAUGGUCUAUGCAAGGAUGACACAAAUAGAGAAAUGUUCGAAUUUUUU
Molecule: small nuclear RNA, 110 nt
Filed under: Nicotiana sylvestris (wood tobacco)
Lineage: Eukaryota; Viridiplantae; Streptophyta; Magnoliopsida; Solanales; Solanaceae
Source: RNAcentral